UACGUAGGGGGCUAGCGUUGCUCGGAAUUACUGGGCGUAAAGCGCGCGUAGGCGGAUUGCUAAGUCAGGUGUGAAAUCCUGGAGCUCAACUCCAGAACUGCCUUUGAUACUGGCGAUCUUGAGUUCGGGAGAGGUGAGUGGAACUCCGGGUGUAGAGGUGAAAUUCGUAGAUAUUCGGAAGAACACCAGUGGCGAAGGCGACUCGCUGGCCCGAUACUGACGCUGAGGCGCGAAAGCGUGGGGAGCAAACAGG
RNAcentral lists this ribosomal RNA (253 nucleotides) under uncultured bacterium. RNAcentral's name for it is "partial 16S ribosomal RNA". It matches the Rfam family "Bacterial small subunit ribosomal RNA", at positions 524 to 776 of the family's 1533-position model. The record is from RNAcentral.